This 1214-nucleotide ribosomal RNA is filed under the name Lactiplantibacillus plantarum. Its description in RNAcentral is "bacterial SSU rRNA". It matches the Rfam family "Bacterial small subunit ribosomal RNA", at positions 32 to 1198 of the family's 1533-position model. Lineage: Bacteria; Bacillati; Bacillota; Bacilli; Lactobacillales; Lactobacillaceae. The record is from RNAcentral.
AGGGAUUGGCGACGUGCUAUACAUGCAAGUCGAACGAACUCUGGUAUUGAUUGGUGCUUGCAUCAUGAUUUACAUUUGAGUGAGUGGCGAACUGGUGAGUAACACGUGGGAAACCUGCCCAGAAGCGGGGGAUAACACCUGGAAACAGAUGCUAAUACCGCAUAACAACUUGGACCGCAUGGUCCGAGCUUGAAAGAUGGCUUCGGCUAUCACUUUUGGAUGGUCCCGCGGCGUAUUAGCUAGAUGGUGGGGUAACCGGCCUCACGCAUUGGCCAAUGAUACCGUAGCCGACCUGAGAGGGUAAUCGGCCACAUUGGGACUGAGGAACACGGCCCAAACUCCUACGGGAGGCAGCAGUAGGGAAUCUUCCACAAUGGACGAAAGUCUGAUGGAGCAACGCCGCGUGAGUGAAGAAGGGGUUUCGGCUCGUAAAACCUCUGUUGUUAAAGAAGAACAUAUCUGAGAGUAACUGUUCAGGUAUUGACGGUAUUUAACCCAGAAAGCCACGGCUAACUACGUGCCAGCAGCCGCGGUAAUACGUAGGUGGCAAGCGUUGUCCGGAUUUAUUGGGCGUAAAGCGAGCGCAGGCGGUUUUUUAAGUCUGAUGUGAAAGCCUUCGGCUCAACCGAAGAAGUGCAUCGGAAACUGGGAAACUUGAGUGCAGAAGAGGACAGUGGAACUCCAUGUGUAGCGGUGAAAUGCGUAGAUAUAUGGAAGAACACCAGUGGCGAAGGCGGCUGUCUGGUCUGUAACUGACGCUGAGGCUCGAAAGUAUGGGUAGCAAACAGGAUUAGAUACCCUGGUAGUCCAUACCGUAAACGAUGAAUGCUAAGUGUUGGAGGGUUUCCGCCCUUCAGUGCUGCAGCUAACGCAUUAAGCAUUCCGCCUGGGGAGUACGGCCGCAAGGCUGAAACUCAAAGGAAUUGACGGGGGCCCGCACAAGCGGUGGAGCAUGUGGUUUAAUUCGAAGCUACGCGAAGAACCCUUACCAGGUCUUGACAUACUAUGCAAAUCUAAGAGAUUAGACGUUCCCUUCGGGGACAUGGAAACAGGUGGUGCAUGGUUGUCGUCAGCUCGUGUCGUGAGAUGUGGGGUUAAGUCCCGCAACGAGCGCAACCCUUAUUAUCAGUUGCAAGCAUUAAGUUGGGCACUCUGUUGAGAACUGCCGGUGACAAACCGGAGAAAGGUGGGGAAUGAACGUCAAAUCAUCAUGC